GACGAACGCCGGCGGCGUGCUUAACACAUGCAAGUCGAACGAUGAAGCCUAGCUUGCUAGGUGGAUUAGUGGCGAACGGGUGAGUAAUACGUGAGUAACCUACCUUUAACUCUGGGAUAAGCCUGGGAAACUGGGUCUAAUACCGGAUACGACCAAUCUCCGCAUGGGGUGUUGGUGGAAAGCGUUAUGUAGUGGUUAUAGAUGGGCUCACGGCCUAUCAGCUUGUUGGUGAGGUAACGGCUCACCAAGGCGACGACGGGUAGCCGGCCUGAGAGGGUGACCGGCCACACUGGGACUGAGACACGGCCCAGACUCCUACGGGAGGCAGCAGUGGGGAAUAUUGCACAAUGGGCGCAAGCCUGAUGCAGCGACGCCGCGUGAGGGAUGACGGCCUUCGGGUUGUAAACCUCUGUUAGCAGGGAAGAAGAGAAAUUGACGGUACCUGCAGAGAAAGCGCCGGCUAACUACGUGCCAGCAGCCGCGGUAAUACGUAGGGCGCGAGCGUUGUCCGGAAUUAUUGGGCGUAAAGAGCUUGUAGGCGGUUUGUCGCGUCUGCUGUGAAGGCCGGGGCUUAACCCCGUGUAUUGCAGUGGGUACGGGCAGACUAGAGUGCAGUAGGGGAGACUGGAAUUCCUGGUGUAGCGGUGGAAUGCGCAGAUAUCAGGAGGAACACCGAUGGCGAAGGCAGGUCUCUGGGCUGUAACUGACGCUGAGAAGCGAAAGCAUGGGGAGCGAACAGGAUUAGAUACCCUGGUAGUCCAUGCCGUAAACGUUGGGCACUAGGUGUGGGGGACAUUCCACGUUUUCCGCGCCGUAGCUAACGCAUUAAGUGCCCCGCCUGGGGAGUACGGCCGCAAGGCUAAAACUCAAAGAAAUUGACGGGGGCCCGCACAAGCGGCGGAGCAUGCGGAUUAAUUCGAUGCAACGCGAAGAACCUUACCAAGGCUUGACAUAUACUGGACCGCAUCAGAGAUGGUGUUUCCCUUCGGGGCUGGUAUACAGGUGGUGCAUGGUUGUCGUCAGCUCGUGUCGUGAGAUGUUGGGUUAAGUCCCGCAACGAGCGCAACCCUCGUUCUAUGUUGCCAGCACGUUAUGGUGGGGACUCAUAGGAGACUGCCGGGGUCAACUCGGAGGAAGGUGGGGAUGACGUCAAAUCAUCAUGCCCCUUAUGUCUUGGGCUUCACGCAUGCUACAAUGGCCGGUACAGAGGGUUGCGAUACUGUGAGGUGGAGCUAAUCCCUAAAAGCCGGUCUCAGUUCGGAUUGGGGUCUGCAACUCGACCCCAUGAAGUCGGAGUCGCUAGUAAUCGCAGAUCAGCAACGCUGCGGUGAAUACGUUCCCGGGCCU
This 1347-nucleotide ribosomal RNA is filed under the name uncultured bacterium. RNAcentral's name for it is "bacterial SSU rRNA". It matches the Rfam family "Bacterial small subunit ribosomal RNA", at positions 28 to 1381 of the family's 1533-position model. The record is from RNAcentral.